CCUAGAGUGGUCCUUUAAGUAUUUUCAUUUGUGAAAAUUAACAUGUCUGAAUGGAAAUAAAACAAAUGUUCUUUAUGGUUCUUAUGGAAAUAAAACUAUAGCAACAUACUCUUGUUAAAUGUGUUUUGCUUGCCUAAUUUUAAUGCAGAUUGUUCUUUUCCUUUUGAAGUUUAGCUGAUGAGCUAAGUUUAGCAAAUGAGCAGAUCAAUUAAUCUAUACAGGUGGAUCGGGGCAGGUAACGCCCUUGAAUUCAGAGUGAUGCUAGGAAAGGGUAAGUAUUCAAAUUAUCAUUAAGCAAUUAAAU
This is a non-coding RNA of Pelobates cultripes (western spadefoot toad), 304 nucleotides long. The record is from the annotation of a GenBank genome assembly. Lineage: Eukaryota; Metazoa; Chordata; Amphibia; Anura; Pelobatidae.